Molecule: ribosomal RNA, 421 nt
Filed under: uncultured bacterium
Lineage: Bacteria
Description: bacterial SSU rRNA
Rfam family: Bacterial small subunit ribosomal RNA
Source: RNAcentral
GGAAUAUUGGACAAUGGGCGAAAGCCUGAUCCAGCAACGCCGCGUGGAGGAUGAAGGCCUUCGGGUUGUAAACUCCUGUCAGGUGGAACGAAAAACCUCAGCUAACAACUGCGCAUAUGACGGUACCCACAGAGGAAGCCGCGGCUAACUCUGUGCCAGCAGCCGCGGUAAUACAGAGGGGGCAAGCGUUAUUCGGAAUCAUUGGGCGUAAAGGGCGCGUAGGCGGCCAAGCAAGUCAGGGGUGAAAUCCCUCGGCUCAACCGAGGAAUUGCCUCUGAAACUGCAUGGCUUGAGACCGGGAGAGGGUGGUGGAAUUCCCAGUGUAGCGGUGAAAUGCGUAGAUAUUGGGAGGAACACCGGUGGCGAAGGCGGCCACCUGGACCGGUUCUGACGCUGAGGCGCGAAAGUGUGGGGAGCAAAC